GAGACUCCGGCCCCUAACUAGCCGAGGGAACGGGCCCGUAGCGCCGCUCGCGGUGCUACGCCGUUCUCCUUCGUGCGGCUUCUUACGGGGACUGUCGGCGUCCCAGUCGAAGGAAGAGCGGAGCGAUAACAGGUCUGUGAUGCCCUUAGAUGUCCGGGGCUGCACGCGCGCUACAAUGCACGAGUCAGCGCGCCGCGCUGCCGGCGACGGCCGCAUUCACGUACAACUUCGACGGCGUAGUCAGGAUCGCGGCUUGCAAGUCGCCGCGUCAAUCUGGAAUUCCACGUAAGCGCCGCUCAUCAGGCGGCGUUGAAAGCGUCCCUGCCCUUUGUA
Molecule: ribosomal RNA, 333 nt
Filed under: cf. Dorvilleidae sp. DH-2009
Lineage: Eukaryota; Metazoa; Annelida; Polychaeta; Eunicida; Dorvilleidae
Description: bacterial SSU rRNA
Rfam family: Eukaryotic small subunit ribosomal RNA
Source: RNAcentral